Molecule: ribosomal RNA, 274 nt
Filed under: uncultured bacterium
Lineage: Bacteria
Description: partial 16S ribosomal RNA
Rfam family: Bacterial small subunit ribosomal RNA
Source: RNAcentral
AUACAGAGGGUCCAAGCGUUAAUCGGAAUUACUGGGCGUAAAGCGUGCGCAGGCGGUUGUGCAAGACCGAUGUGAAAUCCCCGGGCUUAACCUGGGAAUUGCAUUGGUGACUGCACGGCUAGAGUGUGUCAGAGGGAGGUAGAAUUCCACGUGUAGCAGUGAAAUGCGUAGAGAUGUGGAGGAAUACCGAUGGCGAAGGCAGCCUCCUGGGAUAACACUGACGCUCAUGCACGAAAGCGUGGGGAGCAAACAGGAUUAGAAACCCCGGUAGUCC